GAGAUGCCUCUGAAAGAUGAAUCACACACACUGUGGGUGGGGAUGGAGGAUGUCUUUGUUCUAGGAUUAAAGCAAGAUAGUUUUUCUAUUCUUGAAGUCUGCUGGAGAGGGACUCUUAUGGAUGGAAUGUGUCCCCCUAAAAUUCAUAUGUUGAAGGCUUAACUCCCACCAAUAUGAUGGUAUUUAGAGCUUUUGGGAGAAAAUUGAGGUUACAUGAGAUCAUGAACACCCUACCGUUAGAAUCAAGAUUAGCACAUCAGUUAGAACAGACAACACAGAGCUCCAUUUCUCUCUCUCUUUUUUUUUUCCACACACCGAGGAAAAGCCAUGUGCGGAAAUAGUGAGAAGCCGUCCACAGUGCAGAGACUGUUCUUAUCUCUCCAACCACCAGUUUGUAAUGAUUAUCUGGGUGCAAGUUAGCCCCGAUCUUCUGUUCCGUUGGAGCAGCCACAACUCCAGUUUUCAGCAGCAACAACACUGUGUGGCCCUACACCACACCAUUCAUUCAUUAACAGCAAGUGUUUGUUUAGCACCUGCCAUCUGUUCAUCAGGUCCAGUCUUACCCAUCUGUUUGUUAGGUCCAAUCUUUCAUGUCCUAGAAUAAAAUAGUGAAUAAAGUGUAAAUAUAAGCACUCAAUUAAAAAAGCAGCGCAGAACUGUACUAAAGGAAAGGCCAAAAGAUGCAACAGGAACAUUUAGAAGUGGCAUCUAGUGUAGACAGCUGAGUUCAGACCUCAAGGAUAAGCAGGUCUCAGAUGGCCACACAGAGAAAUGCAGGUCUUGGCAGCAAGAAUAGUUUCCAUGGAAGAGCAGAGUGAGGUGGUUCAGGAAUGCCGGUUCAGGAAUGCUGCAAUCCAUCUUCCAGUCCCGCAGAGAGGGCUUUUCAGGAGCCUCAACCCGUUUCUGAACUUGUGCCUGCAAUCCGCAACUCUAUGGUUGGGUCCUAUGGAUCACUCCCUGGAAAACUUGUUCAUUCACAACCUCCUGUUUUAGUCUAGUGGCAGCCUUCGCUUACUGAUGUCUUUUCUACUCAUCUUUCUUGGUCUAAGUCAAGAGUUAACUCCUGGGAAUCUAUGUUCAGUCCUAUGAAGAAGAAUCUUCCAUUUCAUUAAACUCCUGUAGCACUUGAUGUGCAUGUGUACGUUAGUACUUAUGCAGGGGUUAAUGGUGGACUUAUCUGUUUCACUGGCCAAUGGUAGACUCUUAACUAGAUGCCUGAACCUCUCAGUCACAGAGGUCACAUCUUCCUCACGCUGGGUACUCAGAAACUCAAAGUAAUAGAUACAUAGUGACUUGAAUUGCUUCUGCUUAAGAGAAAAUUAUUAGUAGACAAAGUUUAUGUGUGACAUCUCCCUUCCAGCCUCCUCCUGAAUGUUUUCCCCCAGUUUUACCUUAAGCGCUCCAUGCAUUAGUCUCACCUUAUUAAGGCAUUUUAGGGUGACAAGGGUUCAUGCAAAUACUGGAUAUGGCUUCCGCUUGAAAUUCCCAGGAUUAGAUUCUUUAUAUAUGGCCAAAUAAUAACCAAGUCAAAUGAAAUUUCAUGGAACAUUCUAAAGAUAGUCUGCUUCUUCUCAGAUAUUAUUUGUGCAUUUCAACAGAUAUCUUGAAUGUUUAUAUUAUUAUCUGAGUCUGUUGGGGCUGCUGUACCAAAAUUCCAUACACUGGAUUGCUUAUAAACAACAGAAAUUUGCUUCUCACAGAUCUGGAGCAUCUGGGCAGUCCAAGAUCAAGCUGUCCUGGUCGGGGAUCAUUUCCUGGUUCAUAGACGGGGCCUUCUCCCUGCGUCCUCAGACAGUGGAAGGUGUGAGAGAGCUCUCUGGGGCCUCUUUUAUAAGGGCACUAAUCCCAUUCAUGAAAGCUCCUUUUUCCUAAUCAAAUCAUUUCCAAAGGUCCCACCUCCAAAUUCCAUUACAUUUGGGAUCAGGAUUUCAACACAUGAAUUUUGUGGAAAACACUUUCAGAACAUAGUACUUAGUCACUGAGAAAAACUAAUGUAGAUACUUUUAAUAUGUCAAAAAGAUCCUGAAGAGAGGCUUUUAACAUUCAAAUUCGAGAUGUGGCUUACGGAGAGUGGGCACUUUUGAAUACAAAGUAGCUGAUCUUCCCUGUCACAACAGUGUUAACUUCAAAAAAUAAAAAGAAAAAAA
RNAcentral lists this long non-coding RNA (2147 nucleotides) under Macaca fascicularis (crab-eating macaque). RNAcentral describes it as "lncRNA (ENSMFAG00000056512.1)". The record is from RNAcentral. Lineage: Eukaryota; Metazoa; Chordata; Mammalia; Primates; Cercopithecidae.